Non-coding RNA from Desmophyllum pertusum, 76 nucleotides. NCBI's taxonomy places the organism in Eukaryota, Metazoa, Cnidaria, Anthozoa, Scleractinia, Caryophylliidae. The record is from the annotation of a GenBank genome assembly.
GACGCUGAGUAGCCUAAUCAGGUUAGCGCGUUGGACUCCGUAUCGAGCAGUCAAGGUUCGAGCCCUGGCUGGGUCA